CCCCACACUGCUGUUCCCGGGAGAGUUGAGACCCUGCCUUCCCUGUGCAUGGGACCGUCCCCUGGGUCGGGGGACAGGACGUUCGCAGUGGUGGACGGGAACACGUUCAUGCCCGUGCAGCCCCUUUAUCUGCCCUGCACACCGCACUCAGCUGGCACCAGCUGUCGCGGCCUCAUCCUUUGGGGCAAACACAAGCAGGUUUGUGUCCUGGUCCCUCCAGCAGGCAUGGCCGUCUGUCCAGGGCAGUGUCAGGGGGAUCCUGCAGCCUGAAAAUGCUUUCCCCUCCGGGCCUGAACAGAUGGGGACUCCUGGCUCUGGGUGCCCCCUGGUGGACCCUGUGAAGCUUGGAGGCGAGAAAUUGUACCAGGAUGGAGACAGAGAUGGAGACGGGAGGGAAGCUCCUCCAGGACAAGGAGGCUGAACUUCAGAAGGACUCACAGGAGCCAGAAAUCUCAAGCCAGGCCAGUAUCCUGAGGUGUGAGCCAUCCACUCCAGCCCGAACCCCAGGGCCUCCUCUUGUGGAAACGACUUACAUGUCGGGUUUCCAGGGACUCUCUGAUAGGAAUGCUCUUUUGUGGUUAUAUUCGAGGUAAAAGGCCCAGCUUAAAAUUUCCCUCCCAGCAAAUUCAUCCAAACCUUGUGAGUGGAAGAGGCUGUUGAAAAUGUGUCAAGAAUGAUAAAGCUCAGCCAAAAAAAGGGAACCUGAGAGAGUUCUCCUAUAUUGAUGGAGACAAUGAGGAAAAUGAGGACGUGAAUGGGGUGGGGAUCGCCUGCCUUGAACCACUGCCACGUGCAAAUGACCUGUCCCAUGGGACUCCUUGCUGCCAGGUAUGUGCUCUGCCAAGUGAUUUAUGAAGACCGGCCUGACGGCGAGUACAUGAAUCCCUCUAACCAGACUCAAAAAAGAUCCAGGGUCUAGGAAAAGUAUUCCCUCUAAACCAGAGGUUCUCGAUGGGAGGUAGUAGGACCUCCUGGGGACAUGUGGUCACAUCCAGGGACACUGCUGGCCGUCA
This is a long non-coding RNA of Nyctereutes procyonoides (raccoon dog), 1013 nucleotides long. RefSeq lists it as uncharacterized. The record is from RefSeq and is a predicted model, not a curated record. NCBI's taxonomy places the organism in Eukaryota, Metazoa, Chordata, Mammalia, Carnivora, Canidae. The transcript has 3 exons.